GGUUGAUCUUCAUUCUUCAACGCAUACAUGAAACCACAAUCCACAAAAUCAAUGAAUGGCUAAGGAAGUACAUUUAUUUAAACUAAUGAAAUUACAUGAGACACCUCCAAUUAAAAUGUAACAUCAAUCAGAAAACCUAGGACAACUUGUGCAAGCAAAUACUAGAAUACCUAGAAACGUCAUUGAAUAUUAUUAGAACUAGAUUCCCCACUAGUUUUCUGACUGUAAUUACAUAAACCGGAUAUAAGAAAAGAGAAGGAACUUUCUGAAUCAUCAAAUGGAGGUCGAGGGAACUCAUGAAACCCACCAAAAUUACAAGUAUCGAAGUUCAAUGGCGAGAAAUAGCUAGCAGGAUCAUCAACACCCCCCUUCACAUCCAUUACAUUUUGAGCCCCAGUUCCAUUUGCACCACCUGAGCCAAAGCUAUAAUUUAUACUUCCAACCUUGUUUGCUACUUCAUUUUCAUCCCCUUUAUCAGAUGGCCCGGCUGGUCCUUUUGUUUCAUCAGGAGGAAUAGCAGGCGUAUGACCCUGGAAGAGAGCAAUAUGCCCAAAAAGCUUGUCUUUCCUUGAAAAGGUUGUACCGCACGAACACAGCCAUUUAUCCUUGCCACAAUGCUUCUCAUGAGUUUUGAGGUCUGCAAUAACUGAGAAUUUCUUCGUGUUGCAUCUGCUGCAAGUGUAGCUCUUGUCACAGUGAGUUCUCUUAUAAUGGUUUUUGACACACAAAAUAGUCUUCAAAGGCUGAAACUUUUUGUGAUCCUUGUUCCGCUUACAACCAGUAAAUGGGCAUGAAUACCUCUUAAUGAGCACUGGUUCAGAGCUGGCUUCUUUGUUGGGUUUUGCAAGUGCAGCAGGAGUUUUGUACUCAUCACCAUGACCUCUCAUAUGCAUACGUAAAUUUGCAUCUCUCUUGAACCCUUUCCCACAUAUUGUACAGAAAUGAGUAUGUGGAGCAAGGAUUUCUUCUUUUUCUAGUUGUAAGAUCUCAUAGGAACCAGGCGGAAGGUUCUCUCCUUCCUCAGCAUCUUCUUCAUCUUUCAUUUCAUGUUCUUCAAUAGAGUAGUUCUGCUCAGUCCCACAAUUACCUGUAACAUCCAUCUGGUUGGACUGAUCAGAAACUUUACUUCCACUACUAUGUUGUUGCUGUACACUAUUAUUCAUGCCUGUCCCAGAGGGAAAAAGAAUCCCCCCAAGCUGUCCAACAGGAGUAGUGGUUGCAGAAAGUGUAUGCUUCACAGAUGGAAGAAGACUACCUGCAGUAGAGAUCAAUUGUACGAUAAUUGAAGUGAGAUCAGCAGUUACAAGCUGCUGUUGCUGAGUUACCAGUUCCUCUGGCCGCCCCAAAACCUGACCCCUCCGGCCAACAAUCAAAUGCACCAAAUCUUGUAAUUGAUGGAUUUUUUGCUCAAGAAAAGAGAGAUUGUUGAGCAUGGCCCUUGGAUCCCAAUCUGGGAUUUUGUUGGUUUGAAGUGUCUCAUUAAUUUGACUAUUUUCUUGAUCUGCCAUUUUGAUAUGAUCAUUGGGGUUGGAAGGAAGUAAGGAUUGGGUUUCAGAUUGUGGGUUAAAUUCUUGGAAAGAUGAAUUAGUCCUAAUGCCAAAGAUAGAGGUAUCUUCCCACUUCUGCUCAUAUUGCUGUGAAUUGAAAUUGAAAUUGAUAAAAGAUGGUUUCUCGGUGGAAAUGUUUUUUGGUAAUUCAUUACCAGAAGAUGAAGAUUUUGCCCAUGUUUCUUGGCACAGCCUGUCUUUUUUAUCCAUUAUCAAGUCCUUUCUCAGUAUCAAGUCUCAAGGCUAAUCAAACCUGUAAUUUUAACAGAAAUUAGAAAUUUAAAAUUGGCAGAAACAUUCUGAAGUCCAGAAGACAAGUAAUCAACCCAAAUCUAAAUUAACCAACAAGUAAUUCCCAUUUUUAUGGCCAAAACAACAAUUUGUUUCA
Molecule: unclassified non-coding RNA, 1935 nt
Filed under: Hevea brasiliensis (rubber tree)
Lineage: Eukaryota; Viridiplantae; Streptophyta; Magnoliopsida; Malpighiales; Euphorbiaceae
Source: RNAcentral